This 383-nucleotide ribosomal RNA is filed under the name uncultured eukaryote. RNAcentral's name for it is "partial 18S ribosomal RNA". It matches the Rfam family "Eukaryotic small subunit ribosomal RNA", at positions 592 to 976 of the family's 1831-position model. The record is from RNAcentral.
CAAUAGCGUAUAUUAAAGUUGUUGCAGUUAAAAAGCUCGUAGUUGGAUUUCUGGUGGGAGCGAUCGGUCUGGCGCUUAGCGCGAGUACUUGCAUCGUCUCCGGCCAUCCUUGGGGAGAGUCUGUCUGGCAUUAGGUUGUCGGGCAGAGGAUCCUCAUCGUUUACUGUGAAAAAAUUAGAGUGUUCAAAGCAGGCUUAUGCCGUUGAAUAUAUUAGCAUGGAACAAUAAGAUAGGACUUUGGUACUAUUUUGUUGGUUUGCGCACCAAAGUAAUGAUUAAUAGGGACAGUUGGGGGUAUUCGUAUUCCGUUGUCAGAGGUGAAAUUCUUGGAUUUACGGAAGACGAACUACUGCGAAAGCAUUUACCAAGGAUGUUUUCAUUAA